AGUUUCUCCAACUGCUCUCCUUAUUUCCUUCCACACUCUCAAUCUCUCUACUCUUUCAACUUAUUCAAUGCCACUAAAAUUUGGUUCUUGUAAAUAUUUCUUCAAUUUUAAGGAUGUGGUUAAACUAAAGAUUUUGGAAGCUAGGAAGGAAUCAAUAUUCACGAUCGCGAUUUCUUUGUAUAAUUUAAGGUUGUGGCUGGGGAUCUCUCUGGUGCCUCCAGCAUUGAGGCAUCACUUCCCGCCAACAAUGAGAUAGAAAUUGUCUCUACUACUCCAGCUUCCUUUGAGGUUGGAGAGCAACCCAAUAUCACUGCUCCUGAGCCACCAUCAGUAGAGUCUGAUCGUAGAGGCGAUUAAGUGCUUGUGUGGUUGGUAUGUGGGAUUGCGAUAGCUUAUGGGGUUACGCAUAUUAUUAAUAAUAUCAGCACCCUCAAAGAAGACAAGAGUAUCGUGCCAUGGCUUGGUAUGUUGUGGGGUCUGGGACUUUGUUUUAGCAGUCUCUUAUUCUUUUGGGUAGUUACCCUUGAUUGGAGCAAAUAUAAUGUUGAUGAAUAAAUUAGUCAGCUUUUGUCCUAGUUUUAUGACAUUUAUUCACAGGUGUAGCACAUGCAAAGGCUCUCCUUGAUUGUAGGAAUAUUUAUCUUGUUUACGUUAAUGUAAUUCUUAUAUAAAAGCUAUUCAACA
Molecule: long non-coding RNA, 684 nt
Organism: Ipomoea nil (Japanese morning glory)
Lineage: Eukaryota; Viridiplantae; Streptophyta; Magnoliopsida; Solanales; Convolvulaceae
Exons: 5
Source: RefSeq, a predicted model, not a curated record